This 253-nucleotide ribosomal RNA is filed under the name uncultured bacterium. RNAcentral describes it as "partial 16S ribosomal RNA". It matches the Rfam family "Bacterial small subunit ribosomal RNA", at positions 524 to 776 of the family's 1533-position model. The record is from RNAcentral.
UACGUAGGGUGCGAGCGUUAAUCGGAAUUACUGGGCGUAAAGCGUGCGUAGGUGGUUUGUUAAGUCUGAUGUGAAAGCCCUGGGCUCAACCUGGGAACUGCAUUGGAAACUGGCUUACUAGAGUGCGGUAGAGGGGUGUGGAAUUCCCGGUGUAGCAGUGAAAUGCGUAGAUAUCGGGAGGAACAUCUGUGGCGAAGGCGACACCCUGGACCAGCACUGACACUGAGGCACGAAAGCGUGGGGAGCAAACAGG